RNAcentral lists this unclassified non-coding RNA (225 nucleotides) under Conobolbitina striipes. RNAcentral describes it as "Conocybe striipes partial internal transcribed spacer 2". The record is from RNAcentral. Lineage: Eukaryota; Fungi; Basidiomycota; Agaricomycetes; Agaricales; Bolbitiaceae.
AAUUAUCAACCUCUCUUGGAUUUGUAUUCAUGGGAGUGUUGGACUUGGGAGUUUUGCGAGCGCUUUCGAGCACUAGCUCUCCUCAAAAACAUUAGCUGGAACGUCUCCUCAGACUGUAUCAUAGUGUGAUAAUUAUCUGCGCUAUUGAUUAGGCUGACUUGUGUUGAGACUCUGCUUAUAACUGUCCUACAUAUUGGACAAGGACACUUGUGUCCUUCUUUGACA